CCACGUCCGACGGUCACCCACCGCCACGCUGUCGGUAGGAAGCGCACACCCGCACGCGCCGACGCAGAAGCACAACCUCUCAGGCACACACACAGCCGGCCAGUCGGUCCCACGUGCGGCCGAUGCCUACUGAGCAGCCAGUAAGGACCAUCGCUAUUCCGGAUGGGACAUUGCAAUGAGGAGGAGAGGCACGGCCUGCCUCCAUGGAGCUGAUGUUAUUUUAGGGAGGCAGACGGUAAUCAAAGAAACAAGAACUGUUUCUGAGGAGUUAGCAUCCCAGCUGAGGCCUGAAUUAAGGGAAGGACUCAGAAUUUUCCAGCACAGCACAAGAGAAGUUUGCUGAAGAACAAGGAAUGAAUAACUGAAUGGCAGACGGACAGACAACUGGAUUCGCAUUUACCUUCCAUAUGCACCACGGCCCUUCAACUCCAUACUCCAGGCCUUGGGAGACCCCUUUUGUGCUUAUUCUCUGAUGAUUCAACCAGUGUUCUAGGCCUCUGGGCUUUCCUGAAUAGACUUUCCUCUCUUCCUCUCUGUCUCUUUCUCA
This is a long non-coding RNA of Leopardus geoffroyi (Geoffroy's cat), 547 nucleotides long. RefSeq lists it as uncharacterized. The transcript has 3 exons. The record is from RefSeq and is a predicted model, not a curated record. Lineage: Eukaryota; Metazoa; Chordata; Mammalia; Carnivora; Felidae.